Molecule: ribosomal RNA, 522 nt
Filed under: uncultured bacterium
Lineage: Bacteria
Description: bacterial SSU rRNA
Rfam family: Bacterial small subunit ribosomal RNA
Source: RNAcentral
CCAGAGAACUUUCCAGAGAUGGAUUGGUGCCUUCGGGAACUCUGAGACAGGUGCUGCAUGGCUGUCGUCAGCUCGUGUUGUGAAAUGUUGGGUUAAGUCCCGCAACGAGCGCAACCCUUUAUCCUUUGUUGCCAGCGGUCCGGCCGGGAACUCAAAGGAGACUGCCAGUGAUAAACUGGAGGAAGGUGGGGAUGACGUCAAGUCAUCAUGGCCCUUACGAGUAGGGCUACACACGUGCUACAAUGGCGCAUACAAAGAGAAGCGACCUCGCGAGAGCAAGCGGACCUCAUAAAGUGCGUCGUAGUCCGGAUUGGAGUCUGCAACUCGACUCCAUGAAGUCGGAAUCGCUAGUAAUCGUGGAUCAGAAUGCCACGGUGAAUACGUUCCCGGGCCUUGUACACACCGCCCGUCACACCAUGGGAGUGGGUUGCAAAAGAAGUAGGUAGCUUAACCUUCGGGAGGGCGCUUACCACUUUGUGAUUCAUGACUGGGGUGAAGUCGUAACAAGGUAGGCGUAGUGCU